This 561-nucleotide ribosomal RNA is filed under the name Platerodrilus sp. UPOL VP0020. RNAcentral's name for it is "SSU rRNA". It matches the Rfam family "Eukaryotic small subunit ribosomal RNA", at positions 32 to 564 of the family's 1831-position model. The record is from RNAcentral. Lineage: Eukaryota; Metazoa; Arthropoda; Insecta; Coleoptera; Lycidae.
UUGUCUCAAAGAUUAAGCCAUGCAUGUCUCAGUACAAGCCAAAUUAAGGUGAAACCGCGAAAGGCUCAUUAAAUCAGUUAUGGUUCCUUAGAUCGUACCAACAAUUACUUGGAUAACUGUGGUAAUUCUACAGCUAACACAUGCACACAGAGCUCCGACCGGAAACGGAAGGAGUGCUUUUGUUAGUACAAAAUCAAUCGGCGGCACGUUCGCUUGCGGACGCGUCGUCGUACAAAUUGAUGAAUCUAAAUAACUUUCUGCUGAUCGCACGGUCUAGCACCGGCGACGCAUCUUUCAAAUGUCUGCCUUAUCAACUGUCGAUGGUAGGUUCUGUGCCUACCAUGGUUGUAACGGGUAACGGGGAAUCAGGGUUCGAUUCCGGAGAGGGAGCCUGAGAAACGGCUACCACAUCCAAGGAAGGCAGCAGGCGCGCAAAUUACCCACUCCCGGCACGGGGAGGUAGUGACGAAAAAUAACGAUACGGGACUCAUCCGAGGCCCCGUAAUCGGAAUGAGAACAAUUUAAAUCCUUUAACGAGGAUCAAUUGGAGGGCAAGUCUGG